AUGAAGCUUCUCCCGGCCGUCCUCGGCCUCGCCCUCCUCCUCCUCGUCCUGUGUCCCAAUGGCGUGGAGGCCCGGCCUGCGCCUACCCGUGGUCAUGAGAAGAAGCUGUCGAGGGCCACCUUCUUUGUCUUCGGGGAUGACUUCGCUGACAACGGGAACCUCCCUCUGACCGAACCCCUCACCGAGAUGUCGCGGCAAUGGGCUUACACCUACGGCUCCAACUACGUCGAUGCCGAUGGCUUUCCGCGGCCGAAUACCCCGUCCGGCCGCUUCUCAAACUACAAGAUCCAGGCAGAUUUCAUCGCAACAAUGUUGGGGUUGGAGGAAGCCCCUCCAACACAUGCCCGUACAGCGGAGAAAACCUGCGACCCGUCCGGCAUGACUUUUGCUACGGGUGGCGCAACCGUGUUUGAUAGUACAUCACAUGAGGUUCCCACCUUUACCAAGCAAAUUAAUGCUUAUAUUGGGAAAAUGAUAAAAGAGAUGGCAGCUAAUGUGGAGCAAUUGUUGAAGCUCUGGGUGAGAAAGGUUCUUGUCAACAACUUGCAUCCUGUCGGUUGCACGCCAUCACAAACCCGAACUAACAACUACACCACGUGCUAUAUUUUUGAAAACUUGGGUGCUUCCAUCCAUAACAAUAACCUGAAACAAGUUAUGACAGCAAAGAAGAAUGUCCACUUCGUCGAUCUGUACACCACAUUCAUUAAUAUUGUGGAUCAUGUGCCAGGUAAAGGCUCAGAGCUAUCGAAGCAAUUCAAGCGCAAACUAUCGCCGUGUUGCGAGAGUUUAGAUUCGAAGGGUUACUGUGGGCAGCAAGGUGAGUUGUCCACAGAGCUUCUUUGCACAGUGUGCAACAAGUCCAAUAAAUUUUUCUAUUGGGACGACAUGCACCCGACGCACGCGGGAUGGGAGGCUGUCAUGAAACAAUUGGAAAAGCCCUUGAGGGUGUUUUUAGAUCAAGACUAG
This 966-nucleotide ribosomal RNA is filed under the name Triticum aestivum (bread wheat). RNAcentral describes it as "partial small subunit ribosomal RNA". The record is from RNAcentral. Lineage: Eukaryota; Viridiplantae; Streptophyta; Magnoliopsida; Poales; Poaceae.